This 479-nucleotide ribosomal RNA is filed under the name uncultured bacterium. RNAcentral describes it as "partial 16S ribosomal RNA". It matches the Rfam family "Bacterial small subunit ribosomal RNA", at positions 28 to 506 of the family's 1533-position model. The record is from RNAcentral.
GAUGAACGCUAGCGGCAGGCCUAACACAUGCAAGUCGAGGGGUAGAAGGAGCUUGCUCCUUUGAGACCGGCGCACGGGGGCGUAACGCGUAUGCAAUCUACCUUGUACAGGGGAAUAGCCCAGAGAAAUUUGGAUUAAUGCCCCAUAGUAUAUAACCUUCGCAUGUUGGUUAUAUUAAAGUUCCAACGGUACAAGAUGAGCAUGCGUCCCAUUAGUUAGUUGGUAAGGUAACGGCUUACCAAGACGAUGAUGGGUAGGGGUCCUGAGAGGGAGAUCCCCCACACUGGUACUGAGACACGGACCAGACUCCUACGGGAGGCAGCAGUGAGGAAUAUUGGUCAAUGGUCGCAAGACUGAACCAGCCAUGCCGCGUGCAGGAAGACGGUCCUAUGGAUUGUAAACUGCUUUUAUACAGGAAGAAACCCUCCCACGUGUGGGAGCUUGACGGUACUGUAGGAAUAAGGAUCGGCUAACUCCGU